AUGAACGCUGGCGGCGUGCCUAAUACAUGCAAGUCGAGCGAACGGACGAGAAGCUUGCUUCUCUGAUGUUAGCGGCGGACGGGUGAGUAACACGUGGAUAACCUACCUAUAAGACUGGGAUAACUUCGGGAAACCGUAGCUAAUACCGGAUAAUAUUUUGAACCGCAUGGUUCAAAAGUGAAAGACGGUCUUGCUGUCACUUAUAGAUGGAUCCGCGCUGCAUUAGCUAGUUGGUAAGGUAACGGCUUACCAAGGCAACGAUGCAUAGCCGACCUGAGAGGGUGAUCGGCCACACUGGAACUGAGACACGGUCCAGACUCCUACGGGAGGCAGCAGUAGGGAAUCUUCCGCAAUGGGCGAAAGCCUGACGGAGCAACGCCGCGUGAGUGAUGAAGGUCUUCGGAUCGUAAAACUCUGUUAUUAGGGAAGAACAUAUGCGUAAGUAACUGUGCACAUCUUGACGGUACCUAAUCAGAAAGCCACGGCUAACUACGUG
Molecule: ribosomal RNA, 496 nt
Filed under: uncultured bacterium
Lineage: Bacteria
Description: partial 16S ribosomal RNA
Rfam family: Bacterial small subunit ribosomal RNA
Source: RNAcentral